Molecule: ribosomal RNA, 446 nt
Filed under: uncultured bacterium
Lineage: Bacteria
Description: partial 16S ribosomal RNA
Rfam family: Bacterial small subunit ribosomal RNA
Source: RNAcentral
CCUACGGGUGGCAGCAGUCGAGAAUCAUUCACAAUGGGGGAAACCCUGAUGGUGCGACGCCGCGUGGGGGAAUGAAGGUCUUCGGUUUGUAAACCCCUGUCAUGUGGGAGCAAAUUAAAAAGAUAGUACCACAAGCGGAAGAGACGGCUAACUCUGUGCCAGCAGCCGCGGUAAUACAGAGGUCUCACGCGUUGUUCGGAAUCACGGGGCGUAAAGCGUACGUAGGCGGUUUCGUAAGUCGUGUGUGAAAGGCGCGGGCUCAACCCGGGAACGGCACAUGAUACUGGGAGACUAGAGUAAUGGAGAGGGGACUGGAAUUCUAGGUGUAGCAGUGAAAUGCGUAGAGAUCGGGAGGAAUACUGGUGGCGAAGGCGGGUUCCUGGACAAUGACUGACGCUGAGGUGCGAAGGCGAGGGGAGCGAAAGGGAUUAGAUACCCUAGUAGUC